AUUGAACGCUGGCGGCAGGCCUAACACAUGCAAGUCGAGCGGACGAAGGGAGCUUGCUCCUGGAUUCAGCGGCGGACGGGUGAGUAAUGCCUAGGAAUCUGCCUGGUAGUGGGGGAUAACGUCCGGAAACGGGCGCUAAUACCGCAUACGUCCUGAGGGAGAAAGUGGGGGAUCUUCGGACCUCACGCUAUCAGAUGAGCCUAGGUCGGAUUAGCUAGUUGGUGGGGUAAAGGCCUACCAAGGCGACGAUCCGUAACUGGUCUGAGAGGGUGAUCAGUCACACUGGAACUGAGACACGGUCCAGACUCCUACGGGAGGCAGCAGUGGGGAAUAUUGGACAAUGGGCGAAAGCCUGAUCCAGCCAUGCCGCGUGUGUGAAGAAGGUCUUCGGAUUGUAAAGCACUUUAAGUUGGGAGGAAGGGCAGUAAGUUAAUACCUUGCUGUUUUGACGUUACCAACAGAAUAAGCACCGGCUAACUUCGUG
Molecule: ribosomal RNA, 484 nt
Filed under: uncultured bacterium
Lineage: Bacteria
Description: partial 16S ribosomal RNA
Rfam family: Bacterial small subunit ribosomal RNA
Source: RNAcentral